UGCUUCUUAAAACCUGAGUAGGACACUGCAGGGGUUUCUUUUCUCCUCAGCCAGGGCUGAAGGCCAAGAUCAACCUUGAGGAUUAUUGCCAGGGCUACCAUGAGCUGGGCAGCUUUGUUUUCCUACCUCACACAUUU
Molossus molossus (Pallas's mastiff bat) is the source of this 137-nucleotide non-coding RNA. The record is from RefSeq and is a predicted model, not a curated record. Lineage: Eukaryota; Metazoa; Chordata; Mammalia; Chiroptera; Molossidae.